CCUUCCUUUGCAGGUGUUACAACUCAGGACUCGGCUCCCGGCCCGCAGACAGGGCAGGCAGCCAUCUGCCUCUCCGCCUCCGAAGCGCCUGCAGGGUUGCACCAGGGACCAGCAGCAGUGUCUCCAUGAAGGCAGCACAGCACAGCGCUGCUCACGACUGCCCAACACAGCGUGCUGCAGAAUGUCCUCUGAGACUGCACCGACCCAGGAAUGGGAACUGCAGUCUUUUUGAAAAGGACAAGACAGACAGCAUGCAGGACUGCUUCGGGCAGGGACUUUGCAGAAUAUUCCAGCACCUCUUUCCUAAAGAGAAAAGCUCUCCAUUAAAAAAGCUUACCUUGGAAAUGGACGUAUGAGUGAGAGAGAGACAUUUGGCAGUUUUGUUACAUGAGCAUUAGCUCGCUUUACUGCGCUUAGUAAGACUUCGGUUCCACACAACUGCCCCAGAAUUGUGAACAGGAGGAUGAAGACACAGGAAAACAAGACAAGUGCCAAGUACGUGAAGAGUGCACUUGCUGCUCAGGUAGAGUUAGAAAGCCCUCCUCCCAAGAAAAUGGCCCUUAAGUAUUGUCUAACCACGCACACAUUUGAAUUGGGACUCAUUGGCUGCCUUGUGUAUGGGAAACGCUACGAGUGCAACCAGCUGACAGGAACCCAGAAGGUCUCAGUCUCCAGUCUGUCAAAGGUUGCCUUAAGCUCACUGUAGGCUGUUGCCAGGUCAUCAUUGAUGAUCACCUUAUCAAAGAGGUGGCCGUACUGGCUCUCCAUCACCUGGGCAGACUUAAUCAUCUCUUGAAAAUCUUCUUCCUAAUGAGAUCAAUGAAGAGAAUAGUCAGU
This 837-nucleotide long non-coding RNA is filed under the name Gallus gallus (chicken). RNAcentral's name for it is "long non-coding RNA NONGGAT003759". Lineage: Eukaryota; Metazoa; Chordata; Aves; Galliformes; Phasianidae. The record is from RNAcentral.